GAUGAACGCUGGCGGCGUGCCUAAUACAUGCAAGUCGAGCGAAUGGAUUAAGAGCUUGCUCUUAUGAAGUUAGCGGCGGACGGGUGAGUAACACGUGGGUAACCUGCCCAUAAGACUGGGAUAACUCCGGGAAACCGGGGCAAAUACCGGAUAGUAUUUUGAACCGCAUGGUGCGAAAUUGAAAGGCGGCUUCGGCUGUUACUUCUGGAUGUACCCGCGUCGCAUUAGCUAGUGGGUGAGGUGACGGCUCACCAAGGCAACGAUGCGUAGCCGACCUGAGAGGGUGAUCGGCCACACUGGGACUGAGACACGGCCCAGACUCCUACGGGAGGCAGCAGUAGGGAAUCUUCCGCAAUGGACGAAAGUCUGACGGAGCAACGCCGCGUGAGUGAUGAAGGCUUUCGGGUCGUAAAACUCUGUUGUUAGGGAAGAACAAGUGCUAGUUGAAUAAGCUGGCACCUUGACGGUACCUAACCAGAAAGCCACGGCUAACUACGUGCUAGCCGCCGCAGUAA
Molecule: ribosomal RNA, 515 nt
Filed under: uncultured bacterium
Lineage: Bacteria
Description: partial 16S ribosomal RNA
Rfam family: Bacterial small subunit ribosomal RNA
Source: RNAcentral